GGGGUUGUGGAUCAGUGGUAGAGGGCUCACCUAGCAUGUGUGAGGCCCUGGGUUCGGUCCUCAGUACCACA
Molecule: transfer RNA, 71 nt
Filed under: Marmota monax (woodchuck)
Lineage: Eukaryota; Metazoa; Chordata; Mammalia; Rodentia; Sciuridae
Description: tRNA.Ala
Source: RNAcentral